RNAcentral lists this ribosomal RNA (1325 nucleotides) under Streptococcus thermophilus TH985. RNAcentral describes it as "bacterial LSU rRNA". It matches the Rfam family "Bacterial large subunit ribosomal RNA", at positions 566 to 1907 of the family's 2925-position model. Lineage: Bacteria; Bacillati; Bacillota; Bacilli; Lactobacillales; Streptococcaceae. The record is from RNAcentral.
ACAACAAGUUCGAGCCCGUUAAUGGGUGAGAGCGUGCCUUUUGUAGAAUGAACCGGCGAGUUACGAUAUGAUGCGAGGUUAAGUUGAAGAGACGGAGCCGUAGGGAAACCGAGUCUUAAUAGGGCGAAUUAGUAUCAUGUCGUAGACCCGAAACCAUGUGACCUACCCAUGAGCAGGGUGAAGGUGAGGUAAAACUCACUGGAGGCCCGAACCAGGGCACGUUGAAAAGUGCUUGGAUGACUUGUGGGUAGCGGAGAAAUUCCAAACGAACUUGGAGAUAGCUGGUUCUCUCCGAAAUAGCUUUAGGGCUAGCGUCGAUGUUAAGUCUCUUGGAGGUAGAGCACUGUUUGAUUGAGGGGUCCAUCCCGGAUUACCAAUAUCAGAUAAACUCCGAAUGCCAACGAGAUAUAAUCGGCAGUCAGACUGCGAGUGCUAAGAUCCGUAGUCGAAAGGGAAACAGCCCAGACCACCAGCUAAGGUCCCAAAAUAUAUGUUAAGUGGAAAAGGAUGUGGGGUUGCACAGACAACUAGGAUGUUAGCUUAGAAGCAGCUAUUCAUUCAAAGAGUGCGUAAUAGCUCACUAGUCGAGUGACCCUGCGCCGAAAAUGUACCGGGGCUAAAACAUAUUACCGAAGCUGUGGAUACCUUUAUAGGUAUGGUAGGAGAGCGUUCUAUGUGCGAAGAAGGUGUACCGUGAGGAGUGCUGGAGCGCAUAGAAGUGAGAAUGCCGGUAUGAGUAGCGAAAGACAGGUGAGAAUCCUGUCCACCGUAAGACUAAGGUUUCCAGGGGAAGGCUCGUCCGCCCUGGGUUAGUCGGGACCUAAGGAGAGACCGAAAGGUGUAUCCGAUGGACAACAGGUUGAUAUUCCUGUACUAGAGUAUAUAGUGAUGGAGGGACGCAGUAGGCUAACUAAACCAGACGAUUGGAAGUGUCUGGCCAAGCAGUGAGGUGUGAUAUGAGUCAAAUGCUUAUAUCUUUAACAUUGAGCUGUGAUGGGGAGCGAAGUUUAGUAGCGAAGUUAGUGAUGUCACACUGCCGAGAAAAGCUUCUAGCGUUAAUUAUACUCUACCCGUACCGCAAACCGACACAGGUAGUCGAGGCGAGUAGCCUCAGGUGAGCGAGAGAACUCUCGUUAAGGAACUCGGCAAAAUGGCCCCGUAACUUCGGGAGAAGGGGCGCUGGCUUUAAGUCAGCCGCAGUGAAUAGGCCCAAGCAACUGUUUAUCAAAAACACAGCUCUCUGCUAAAUCGUAAGAUGAUGUAUAGGGGGUGACGCCUGCCCGGUGCUGGAAGGUUAAGAGGAGCGCUUAGCAUUAGCGAAGGUG